AGAGUUUGAUCCUGGCUCAGAACGAACGCUGGCGGCAGGCUUAACACAUGCAAGUCGAGCGCUGUAGCAAUACAGAGCGGCGCACGGGAGAGUAAUACAUGGGAACCUACCUUUUGGUUGGAAUAACGUCGGGAAACUGACGCUAAUACCGGAUACGUCCUUCGGGAGAAAGAUUUAUCGCCGAUAGAUGGGCCCAUGUUGGAUUAGCUAGUUGGUGAGGUAAUGGCUCACCAAGGCAACGAUCCAUAGCUGGUCUGAGAGGAUGAUCAGCCUCACUGGGACUGAGACACGGCCCAGACUCCUACGGGAGGCAGCAGUGGGGAAUAUUGGACAAUGGGGGCAACCCUGAUCCAGCCAUGCCGCGUGAAUGAUGAAGGCCUUCGGGUUGUAAAGUUCUUUUGGCGGGGACGAUGAUGACGGUACCCGCAGAAUAAGCUCCGGCUAACUUCGUGCCAGCAGCCGCGGUAAUACGAAGGGAGCUAGCGUUGUUCGGAAUUACUGGGCGUAAAGGGCGCGUAGGUGGCUUGGCAAGUUGGAUGUGAAAGCCCAGGGCUCAACCCUGGAAUUGCAUUCAAGACUGCCUUGCUUGAAUUCGGUAGAGGUUGGUGGAAUUCCCAGUGUAGAGGUGAAAUUCGUAGAGAUUGGGAAGAACACCCGUGGCGAAGGCGGCCAACUGGACCGACAUUGACACUGAGGCGCGAAAGCGUGGGGAUCAAACAGGAUUAGAUACCCUAGUAGUCC
RNAcentral lists this ribosomal RNA (741 nucleotides) under uncultured bacterium. Its description in RNAcentral is "bacterial SSU rRNA". It matches the Rfam family "Bacterial small subunit ribosomal RNA", at positions 8 to 796 of the family's 1533-position model. The record is from RNAcentral.